Molecule: ribosomal RNA, 455 nt
Filed under: uncultured organism
Description: bacterial SSU rRNA
Rfam family: Bacterial small subunit ribosomal RNA
Source: RNAcentral
GUGCAGCAGUCGAGAAUUUUUCUCAAUGGGCGAAAGCCCGAAGGAGCGACGCCGCGUGGGGGAUGAAUGGCUUCGGCCCGUAAACCCCUGUCAUUUGUGAACAAAUUGUUUCACCUAACACAUGAAGCAUUGAUAGUAACGGAAGAGGAAGGGACGGCUAACUCUGUGCCGGCAGCCGCGGUAAUACAGAGGUCCCAAGCGUUGUUCGGAUUCACUGGGCGUAAAGGGUGCGUAGGCGGUUAGGUAAGUCUGACGUGAAAUCUCCGGGCCUAACCCGGAAACUGCGUUGGAUACUAUCCGGCUAGAGGAAUGGAGGGGAGACUGGAAUACUUGGUGUAGCAGUGAAAUGCGUAGAUAUCAAGUGGAACACCAGUGGCGAAGGCGAGUCUCUGGACAUUUCCUGACGCUGAGGCACGAAAGCCAGGGGAGCAAACGGGAUUAGAUACCCGUGUAGU